AUUGAACGCUGGCGGCAUGCUUUACACAUGCGAGUCGAACGGCAGCGGGGUAGUGCUUGCACUACUGCCGGCGAGUGGCGAACGGGUGAGUAAUAUAUCGGAACGUACCGAGUAAUGGGGGAUAACCAAUCGAAAGAUUGGCUAAUACCGCAUACGUCCUGAGGGAGAAAGCGGGGGAUCGCAAGACCUCGCGUUAUUCGAGCGGCCGAUAACUGAUUAGCUAGUUGGUGGGGUAAAGGCCUACCAAGGCGACGAUCAGUAGCGGGUCUGAGAGGACGAUCCGCCACACUGGGACUGAGACACGGCCCAGACUCCUACGGGAGGCAGCAGUGGGGAAUUUUGGACAAUGGGGGCAACCCUGAUCCAGCCAUGCCGCGUGUAUGAAGAAGGCCUUCGGGUUGUAAAGUACUUUUGUUAGGGAAGAAAAGGGAAGUGCUAAUACCACUUUUUGCUGACGGUACCUAAAGAAUAAGCACCGGCUAACUACGUG
Molecule: ribosomal RNA, 490 nt
Filed under: uncultured bacterium
Lineage: Bacteria
Description: partial 16S ribosomal RNA
Rfam family: Bacterial small subunit ribosomal RNA
Source: RNAcentral